UGGGGAAUAUUGCGCAAUGGGGGGAACCCUGACGCAGCCAUGCCGCGUGAAUGAAGAAGGCCUUCGGGUUGUAAAGUUCUUUCGGUAUUGAGGAAGGUUGAUGUGUUAAUAGCACAUCAAAUUGACGUUAAAUACAGAAGAAGCACCGGCUAACUCCGUGCCAGCAGCCGCGGUAAUACGGAGGGUGCGAGCGUUAAUCGGAAUAACUGGGCGUAAAGGGCACGCAGGCGGUUAUUUAAGUGAGGUGUGAAAGCCCCGGGCUUAACCUGGGAAUUGCAUUUCAGACUGGGUAACUAGAGUACUUUAGGGAGGGGUAGAAUUCCACGUGUAGCGGUGAAAUGCGUAGAGAUGUGGAGGAAUACCGAAGGCGAAGGCAGCCCCUUGGGAAUGUACUGACGCUCAUGUGCGAAAGCGUGGGGAGCAAACAGGAUUAGAUACCCUGGUAGUCCACGCUGUAAACGCUGUCGAUUUGGGGGUUGGGGUUUAACUCUGGCGCCCGUAGCUAACGUGAUAAAUCGACCGCCUGGGGAGUACGGCCGCAAAGUUA
This 547-nucleotide ribosomal RNA is filed under the name uncultured bacterium. RNAcentral describes it as "bacterial SSU rRNA". It matches the Rfam family "Bacterial small subunit ribosomal RNA", at positions 355 to 896 of the family's 1533-position model. The record is from RNAcentral.